CUCUGUCUCCCUUGUCUCUUCUAGUCCUGUUUCCAAAGAAGAGCUUAUCUCCAUCCCAGAAUUUUCACCAGUGAGUGAAAUGAUUCCUGGGAUGUCUCUGGAUCAAAAUGGAACUGGUAAUGCCCGGGCACUUCAAGAUAUUUUAGAUUUCACUGGCCCUCCAGCAUUCACCAAGAAAUCCAGUGAAAACCUCAGCCUUGAUGACUGUAACAAAAACCUCAUCGAAGGAUUUAACAGUCCUGGGCAAGAAACUACGCUGAACACCUUCUGUUGACAAAGAAAACAUUUCUUUAAUGAAAGGUGGUAUUUGGAUCGCCCAUGAAGCUGUCAGUGUUGAAUCUGAGCUGCUGACCACCUAAAAGAAGCUUCUUUUGCCCUUAACUGCUGGAUUCCAAAUUGCUAGAUUCAAAAUGUAACUUAUUAUUCCUAGGUAGUUUGGCAAACACUGGUCUCUCUUGGUAGAGACCUUGAGAUUUUUGCUUUGUGGGGCUUUAGCAAAGUUUCAUUUUAUGGUUCUACUUAUGAGCUUCAGCUGCUGCUAAAGCACUUUCUUGACCUUCUCUACUAUUGUAACCUGUGUAAUGCUGUCUGGGAACCCGACUUUAGGACACUCACGUUCCCAGAGUUGGAGCACAGAGACAUUUAGAUGUCUCUCCCUAUAAAAAUCUUCUAUUUGCCCAUACUCUAGUUAAACAUGUACUAUUCAACCUGGGCUGCUUAUCUCCCUGUCUUUGUGUGUGCGUGUGCGUGCACGUGCACGUGCAUAUUCGCGUGCCAGAGAGAGAGAGAGACAGAGUGUGUGAGUGAGAGUGAGCGCAAGCGCGCGCGAGAGAGUGUGUGAGUAUGGGGUGGGGGAAAUCUAGCUACUUUCUCUCCAUCUCAGGUUUCUGUUAUUUUAUUAUUAAGCUUCAUCAUCUGCAGAACAUUACCUCCUUUACUGUUUAGGAUUGAAGAAAUGUUUAGUUGAAUAAAUAAUUAAAUAGUGGCAAUUAUUUCUUUUCCCUUAUGGGAACUCAAAUCUAGCAAUGAUGCUUUCAUGUCACACCCCUAAAACCCCCGAAUUGUCACUCCAAACCAUUGAAUGGCUUUUCAGCUGAAUUAAUCAAGUAACAUACAGGUGGUUAUUUUCAUGGUUUUGCUGUUGUUUUCUAUUAGACUUGGUAUUUUCUUGUUUGCUCCUGUGUUUAACUAACUGUAAUAAAAAGGAGUCAGUGCUUUGAAAGGGGGCCCAAGUUGGUUCCAGUAUGUCACUUUAAUAGGCUUUAAACAUUAAAAAGUCUGAACAAGAAAAAAUGACACUAGAAUGUAUAACUCCGUGUAUGCCAUAUGCUAUAUUUAAAUUUUCAUUUCUUGUGGUGAAAUGUAGCUUUACUGUCAAAAAUGACUUUUUCUUUGGAACUUUUUGUUUUGACUUGUACCUUAAAGCUUUUGAAAAGAUCCUUAAUUCUGAGAUUUACAAACAGAAGAUACAAAGAAGUCUUAAAGCUGGUACAGUUUAAGAAUGUAUUAGUCUAACAAAUUAUGUAUGUUUAUGUGAUAUAAUCUAAAUAAAAUACAUACCUCUAAGAAUGCUGUGCCAUUGACCUUGAUGAAUACUUAAGGAGAUAAAUCUUUUAUGACAAACACACAAAAGAUAGCAUAGUCUGACAUCUAAAACAUACCUGGCUAUUUUUCUUAACACUUUCUUUUCCUGAGUGUCUAUUUCAUUGAGCUCCAUUGUACCUCUCAACACAAUUGUGAUCACAUGAUGCCUCAUUUGCAUGAUGUGUACAUUUUGUCUAAUGUUAAUACAUUUUCACUGAAGAGUCUGA
Molecule: long non-coding RNA, 1811 nt
Organism: Rattus rattus (black rat)
Lineage: Eukaryota; Metazoa; Chordata; Mammalia; Rodentia; Muridae
Exons: 2
Source: RefSeq, a predicted model, not a curated record